This 270-nucleotide ribosomal RNA is filed under the name uncultured bacterium. Its description in RNAcentral is "partial 16S ribosomal RNA". It matches the Rfam family "Bacterial small subunit ribosomal RNA", at positions 87 to 354 of the family's 1533-position model. The record is from RNAcentral.
CCCGGCGACCGGCGCACGGGUGAGUAACACGUAUGCAACCUGGCCGCCACAGGGGGAUAACCCGCGGAAACGCGGCCUAAUACCCCGUGACGCCACCGGAGGGCAUCCUCCGGUGGCCAAAGGAGCGAUCCGGUGGCGGAUGGGCAUGCGGCGCAUUAGCUAGACGGCGGGGUGACGGCCCACCGUGGCGACGAUGCGUAGGGGUUCUGAGAGGAACGGCCCCCCACACUGGGACUGAGACACGGCCCAGACUCCUACGGGAGGCAGCAG